This 504-nucleotide ribosomal RNA is filed under the name uncultured bacterium. RNAcentral's name for it is "partial 16S ribosomal RNA". It matches the Rfam family "Bacterial small subunit ribosomal RNA", at positions 29 to 523 of the family's 1533-position model. The record is from RNAcentral.
AUUGAACGCUGGCGGCAGGCCUAACACAUGCAAGUCGGACGGUAGCACAGAGAGCUUGCUCUUGGGUGACGAGUGGCGGACGGGUGAGUAAUGUCUGGGGAUCUGCCCGAUAGAGGGGGAUAACCACUGGAAACGGUGGCUAAUACCGCAUAACGUCGCAAGACCAAAGAGGGGGACCUUCGGGCCUCUCACUAUCGGAUGAACCCAGAUGGGAUUAGCUAGUAGGCGGGGUAAUGGCCCACCUAGGCGACGAUCCCUAGCUGGUCUGAGAGGAUGACCAGCCACACUGGAACUGAGACACGGUCCAGACUCCUACGGGAGGCAGCAGUGGGGAAUAUUGCACAAUGGGCGCAAGCCUGAUGCAGCCAUGCCGCGUGUAUGAAGAAGGCCUUCGGGUUGUAAAGUACUUUCAGCGGGGAGGAAGGCGGUGCGGUUAAUAACCGCGUCGAUUGACGUUACCCGCAGAAGAAGCACCGGCUAACUCCGUGCCAGCCGCCGCGGUAA